GGUUAAGCGACUAAGCGUACACGGUGGAUGCCCUGGCAGUCAGAGGCGAUGAAGGACGUGCUAAUCUGCGAAAAGCGUCGGUAAGGUGAUAUGAACCGUUAUAACCGGCGAUGUCCGAAUGGGGAAACCCAGUGCAAUUCGUUGCACUAUCGUUAACUGAAUACAUAGGUUAACGAGGCGAACCGGGGGAACUGAAACAUCUAAGUACCCCGAGGAAAAGAAAUCAACCGAGAUUCCCCCAGUAGCGGCGAGCGAACGGGGAGCAGCCCAGAGUCUGAAUCAGCUUGUGUGUUAGUGGAACGGUCUGGAAAGUCCGACGGUACAGGGUGAUAGUCCCGUACACCAAAAUGCACAGGCUGUGAACUCGAAGAGUAGGGCGGGACACGUGGUAUCCUGUCUGAAUAUGGGGGGACCAUCCUCCAAGGCUAAAUACUCCUGACUGACCGAUAGUGAACCAGUACCGUGAGGGAAAGGCGAAAAGAACCCCGGCGAGGGGAGUGAAAAAGAACCUGAAACCGUGUACGUACAAGCAGUGGGAGCACCUUCGGGUGUGACUGCGUACCUUUUGUAUAAUGGGUCAGCGACUUAUAUUCUGUAGCAAGGUUAACCGUAUAGGGGAGCCGCAGGGAAACCGAGUCUUAACUGGGCGUUAAGUUGCAGGGUAUAGACCCGAAACCCGGUGAUCUAGCCAUGGGCAGGUUGAAGGUUGGGUAACACUAACUGGAGGACCGAACCGACUAAUGUUGAAAAAUUAGCGGAUGACUUGUGGCUGGGGGUGAAAGGCCAAUCAAACCGGGAGAUAGCUGGUUCUCCCCGAAAGCUAUUUAGGUAGCGCCUCGUGAACUCAUCUUCGGGGGUAGAGCACUGUUUCGGCUAGGGGGUCAUCCCGACUUACCAACCCGAUGCAAACUACGAAUACCGAAGAAUGUUAUCACGGGAGACACACGGCGGGUGCUAACGUCCGUCGUGAAGAGGGAAACAACCCAGACCGCCAGCUAAGGUCCCAAAGUCAUGGUUAAGUGGGAAACGAUGUGGGAAGGCACAGACAGCCAGGAUGUUGGCUUAGAAGCAGCCAUCAUUUAAAGAAAGCGUAAUAGCUCACUGGUCGAGUCGGCCUGCGCGGAAGAUGUAACGGGGCUAAACCAUGCACCGAAGCUGCGGCAGCGACGCUUAUGCGUUGUUGGGUAGGGGAGCGUUCUGUAAGCCUGCGAAGGUGACCUGUGAGGGUUGCUGGAGGUAUCAGAAGUGCGAAUGCUGACAUAAGUAACGAUAAAGCGGGUGAAAAGCCCGCUCGCCGGAAGACCAAGGGUUCCUGUCCAACGUUAAUCGGGGCAGGGUGAGUCGACCCCUAAGGCGAGGCCGAAAGGCGUAGUCGAUGGGAAACAGGUUAAUAUUCCUGUACUUGGUGUUACUGCGAAGGGGGGACGGAGAAGGCUAUGUUAGCCGGGCGACGGUUGUCCCGGUUUAAGCAUGUAGGCUGGUUAUCCAGGCAAAUCCGGAUAAUCAAGGCUGAGGUGUGAUGACGAGGCACUACGGUGCUGAAGUAACAAAUGCCCUGCUUCCAGGAAAAGCCUCUAAGCAUCAGGUAACAUCAAAUCGUACCCCAAACCGACACAGGUGGUCAGGUAGAGAAUACCAAGGCGCUUGAGAGAACUCGGGUGAAGGAACUAGGCAAAAUGGUGCCGUAACUUCGGGAGAAGGCACGCUGGUGUGUAGGUGAAGUCCCUGCGGAUGGAGCUGAGACCAGUCGAAGAUACCAGCUGGCUGCAACUGUUUAUUAAAAACACAGCACUGUGCAAACACGAAAGUGGACGUAUACGGUGUGACGCCUGCCCGGUGCCGGAAGGUUAAUUGAUGGGGUUAUCCGUAAGGAGAAGCUCUUGAUCGAAGCCCCGGUAAACGGCGGCCGUAACUAUAACGGUCCUAAGGUAGCGAAAUUCCUUGUCGGGUAAGUUCCGACCUGCACGAAUGGCGUAAUGAUGGCCAGGCUGUCUCCACCCGAGACUCAGUGAAAUUGAACUCGCUGUGAAGAUGCAGUGUACCCGCGGCAAGACGGAAAGACCCCGUGAACCUUUACUAUAGCUUGACACUGAACAUUGAGCCUUGAUGUGUAGGAUAGGUGGGAGGCUUUGAAGCGUGGACGCCAGUCUGCGUGGAGCCAACCUUGAAAUACCACCCUUUAAUGUUUGAUGUUCUAACGUUGGCCCCUUAUCGGGGUUGCGGACAGUGUCUGGUGGGUAGUUUGACUGGGGCGGUCUCCUCCCAAAGCGUAACGGAGGAGCACGAAGGUUAGCUAAUCCUGGUCGGACAUCAGGAGGUUAGUGCAAUGGCAUAAGCUAGCUUGACUGCGAGCGUGACGGCGCGAGCAGGUGCGAAAGCAGGUCAUAGUGAUCCGGUGGUUCUGAAUGGAAGGGCCAUCGCUCAACGGAUAAAAGGUACUCCGGGGAUAACAGGCUGAUACCGCCCAAGAGUUCAUAUCGACGGCGGUGUUUGGCACCUCGAUGUCGGCUCAUCACAUCCUGGGGCUGAAGUAGGUCCCAAGGGUAUGGCUGUUCGCCAUUUAAAGUGGUACGCGAGCUGGGUUUAGAACGUCGUGAGACAGUUCGGUCCCUAUCUGCCGUGGGCGCUGGAGAAUUGAGGGGGGCUGCUCCUAGUACGAGAGGACCGGAGUGGACGCAUCACUGGUGUUCGGGUUGUCAUGCCAAUGGCACUGCCCGGUAGCUAAAUGCGGAAGAGAUAAGUGCUGAAAGCAUCUAAGCACGAAACUUGCCCCGAGAUGAGUUCUCCCUGAGACUUUAAGUCUCCUGAAGGAACGUUAAAGACGAUGACGUUGAUAGGCCGGGUGUGUAAGCGCAGCGAUGCGUUGAGCUAACCGGUACUAAUGAACCGUGAGGCUUAACCUU
This 2903-nucleotide ribosomal RNA is filed under the name Klebsiella quasipneumoniae. RNAcentral's name for it is "23S ribosomal RNA". It matches the Rfam family "Bacterial large subunit ribosomal RNA". The record is from RNAcentral. Lineage: Bacteria; Pseudomonadati; Pseudomonadota; Gammaproteobacteria; Enterobacterales; Enterobacteriaceae.